Molecule: ribosomal RNA, 446 nt
Filed under: uncultured bacterium
Lineage: Bacteria
Description: partial 16S ribosomal RNA
Rfam family: Bacterial small subunit ribosomal RNA
Source: RNAcentral
CCUACGGGAGGCAGCAGUCGAGAAUCAUUCACAAUGGGGGAAACCCUGAUGGUGCGACGCCGCGUGGGGGAAUGAAGGUCUUCGGAUUGUAAACCCCUGUCAUGUGGGAGCAAAUUAAAAAGAUAGUACCACACGAGGAAGAGACGGCUAACUCUGUGCCAGCAGCCGCGGUAAUACAGAGGUCUCAAGCGUUGUUCGGAAUCACUGGGCGUAAAGCGUGCGUAGGCUGUUUCGUAAGUCGUGUGUGAAAGGCGCGGGCUCAACCCGCGGACGGCACAUGAUACUGCGAGACUAGAGUAAUGGAGGGGGAACCGGAAUUCUCGGUGUAGCAGUGAAAUGCGUAGAUAUCGAGAGGAACACUCGUGGCGAAGGCGGGUUCCUGGACAGUAACUGACGCUGAGGCACGAAGGCCAGGGGAGCGAAAGGGAUUAGAUACCCGGGUAGUC